Long non-coding RNA from Scylla paramamosain (green mud crab), 2347 nucleotides. RefSeq lists it as uncharacterized. The transcript is spliced from 2 exons. Lineage: Eukaryota; Metazoa; Arthropoda; Malacostraca; Decapoda; Portunidae. The record is from RefSeq and is a predicted model, not a curated record.
GGAAGAGCAGCAGCAGCAGCAGCAGCGUCCCGUCUCUUGAUGCAAUCUUAGAAUCUCGUCCAUAUUUUCUCACGGACCGUAAAAAAUUUUGUUAUAUAAUCAGAUUUUCGUUGCCUGAGACGCCCGUGCGGCAGGUGAGCGUAUUAAAAGUAAGGAGGUGUAUGUAUUAGCAGCAAGGAGCGCGGGGUGAAUGCUGCCCGGCGUGUGGAGGCGUCAGGUCUCAUAAAAAAUACCUAAUUUGCACCCCAUGUACGUAGAAAAGGAAAAAUCAUAAGGUUACGUCGCCUUCAGGAGUUCGUGACAGGAAUCAAGAUGCUGUCACGGCUUCGUUGUGUGGCUGACAACUUCCUUAAUAAUCAGAGUGUGACAGAGAUUGCACAAGCCGCCACUGUAUAUGAGUGGCCAGAAAUCACACGCCUUGUUACGGAGCCAGUCCUCACCGCCUCCCUGACCUUGGCGGGGAAGGGGAAGAGCAAGGUCCAGCGCAGGAGGUCCUGGACGCGGCCUGGCGGUGCUGCAUGACGGGACACGACUCUCAGACACGCCCGGUCAUUACGUGCUUUAUUUUACGCGUUUCUCGGAAAAAUAGAGGAUUCAAGAGGACUGAAGAGGGGUGGGAGAGUGCCUGGGGGUCACGGGUACCUCUUGGGCAGCGCCAGGCCCGACCCGGGAGGUUCCAUCACGCCAUGCGAAGAGCUGGUGGAGAGGCACGGCGCCGCCCCGCCCUCCCAUCCCCGCCUCUCCACGCCCCGCCCUGGGCCUCCGUGUGGACGAGCCUUGCCCUGAUGGGAAGGAAAAGAUCAACAAGAUUAUGACGGCCCUUACUUUGCGUGGCGGCGCGGCCCUUCCUCCUCCAGGGUGGCAGGGCGGCCAUCAGUACUGACAGGUGUGUCUACAUCGAUGUUUUGAACACCUUAUCACGCCUGGCCUCCGCUGCUCGAACAUCUUAUCUCGUCUUUUUUAUCAUCAGCCUUCAAAAAACUCAGAGAAGCUGCGCCGUGAUGGACAACACGACGUAAUCUUAAGCCGCUCGGCGCGCACCAGACGGAGAGGACUUAGGGAGAUUUGAAUCAGCACCUGGACCUUCAUUCUCUCUAGCUCCUCGGGCAGGGAUCGCCGCGGCCCAUCAGCCCCUCAGCCUGGCGCCCACACGUCCGUCUACAGGAGGGUCACGCUGAGGAGAACAGACCGGAGGGAGGGAGAAGGCGCCAAGAAUGAAGGUAUUUUUUCUCUAAUCUUUAUGCAGGCUGGCCACCCGCACACCACCGGUAACAUACAGUAUGAGGUUCCCGCACCACCUGGCGCCGCUCUCCCUCAUCCCUGAUAGACGUCCACGAGUGUCUCCUCCAUAUGUUACCUCCAUCUCUCUUUCCUAUAAAAAUUCCGUGAACCGUCUGAGAGUUUUGUUACCAGAAGAUCGCGUGGCAGGCCUUGGGUUCCUCCGCAGCUGUUCCUGAUAGAUGGGAGGGGGCGGGGAGUGCAUGGCGGGGGAGGGCAGGGGCAAGUGGGCGCGGCGAGGGACAGUGAUAACGGGGGAAGGAGACAGACGAGGGCGUAAGUAAUGUGAUAAAAAUGGACUUAUUUGAGCGAAAUGUGUGGCGUGACGUGACUGAGGGGGUUCCUUACUGUUCAUCUUGGGGGUGAUCUGCGCCGCUUGGCCAAUCAGCGAGCGAGUUGCCUUACGUCAUAAUUAUCAUCCCUUCCUCUCCUCCUCCUUCUCCUUUCUUCUCUCCUCCUGCAGUUUCCACACUCCUUUUCCAGGCACUCUCCACCUCCUCCUCUUCCCUCACCUUGGAAAAUCAGCAGGGCAUCUCAGUUUAUUCAGCCUCCUAAUUUAUUCAGCAUUUUAAUCUAUUCACAAGGACCAGCAGUGCAUAAUUUCGAAGCACAACACUCAACGCACACACCACCACCUUUAUUGUGUAGUGCGGAUGCCGGCGCCACCACCACCACCACCACCGCCACCGCCGCUGCCUCCGCCACUUUAUCGCGGCCCGCUGUGCUGAUUGAGUCUUCCCGCGGCUCUGUGGUGGAGGGCCCAAGAUUCCACUUAAGAUAUCCCGCUCCCUGUAUUAGCUUUUCAAUGUAGUGUUCUGUGUUAGGCGUGGUUGCCCGAGUGGUGGUGGUCUGGGCGUCUUUCUCUACAGGUUAUGGGGACUUUCUUGGCCGUGGGUGUUUACUUAUGUACUUCUUCCCGUCCAAUCUUCUGUUAUUUAUUCGUCCAAGCGUCACUGUUCACCUGGUUAAGGGGUUAGCAAAGGUUAGAUUAGCUUAUGUAUGUGACUUUCUUGAUAAAUCUUACUUUUUUCCUCAUCCAGUUUUCUGUUCUUUAUUCGUGUAAGCUUCA